CGUAAGCCCUGGCUAGGAAACUGUCAAUAGUGUUUCCAUCCAAAGAUCCUUAGUCACUUGUGCAAGGCCUUUGCCAUCUAAGUAACAGACAGAACCUUUGAGAGCACUGCCAAGAAGGUUACAGUCUGAGACACAGAAACAUGGAAGUCAAACAAAGAAGUGCAACCAAGGAGAGACUUAACAGCUGAGAGCUUGGAAAGAUGUUUAAAGGGCAGGUACUGGAUUCUGGGCAGACUGCUGAGAAAACAAGUGAGCCAAGGGUGCGUGUGUUGGAGGAGGAGUGCCAGUUAAGAGGUGAUUACAAGAAGUCUCAAGAACCUGUGCUGAUGAAUUUGGGAACAAAGCAGGGUACUCAGGUGAUGCUGUAAUCAGUUGACCCAAGUUAAAGAUCAUAGCAGGUAUUGCAAGGAUGGAGAUAUCCUGUCAUUCUUUCCCAGAAGUUGGUCACAAACCCAGGCUGGUCCAACAAGACAUUCUCUCUCAAGACCCCAAUCUUGAGUACAGUGGCUACAUUGUGGAAACUGCACCACAUAUCCACUCCAGGAAACAGGGUCAAGAGAAAAGGAUUGGGUCCAUGCUGCCUUCACACCAGAUCUAUCCUGGUUCCUGCUCUUGGCCCUCUAAAGUGACCUCAUCUUCCUAUUCAUUAUGCAAAUUUUUGACAUCCCUCCAGUGUAGAAGCUUCAUGUAUAAGGUUAACAAACGGUUUCUGCCUUACAAAGAAUCAUGGCCCAAACUCAAGUCCACUUGUGAAGAUGUUUUGGAGUUCCAUGCUGCCUCUGCUUCAGCAUCAUUGAACAUUGUGAAGUGUGCAUGAAGCAGGAGGCCACCAGUACCUUCCUUUCCAUGUAUGUUGGAUUCCUGAUGCUGUUCUAAUAAAUCACUCCAAUUUCAGUGACAUUAAAAACAACAUGAAUUCAGGCUGAGGAGAUGGCUCCGCAGACAGAAGCAACUAUCACCAACCAGUGUUGUGGCAUAUUAGUUAAAGAUGUAUUACAUUCUUUUAUGUCUUCAUCCAGCAGCUGGUGGAAGUAGAAGCAGACACCCACAGCUAAACCUUGGACUGAACUGAAAUCCAGAUGCAGAGAAUGAGGACUGAUGAGCAAAGGGGUCCAUACCAGGCUGGUGAAACCCACAGAAACAGCUGAUCUGAACAAGGGAAAACUCUUGCUCCCCAAACUGAUAGCUGGGAAACCAGCAUGGGACUGAUCCAGACCCCCUGAAUGUGGAUGUCAGUGAGGAGACCUUGGGAAUCUAUGGGGCUUCUUGUAGUGAAUCAGUACUUAUUGCUACCAUAGGAAUGGACUUUAGGAGCCCAUCCCACAUGGAGGGAUACUCCCUGAGCCUAGAUACAAGAGGGUUGGCCUAGGCCCUAUCCCAAAGAAUAUGACAGACUUGGAAGACCCCCCAUGGAAGUCCUCACCCUCCCUGGGGAGCAGAAAGGGUAUGGGAUGGGUAGGGUGGUAGUUGGG
Molecule: long non-coding RNA, 1472 nt
Filed under: Cricetulus griseus (Chinese hamster)
Lineage: Eukaryota; Metazoa; Chordata; Mammalia; Rodentia; Cricetidae
Description: lncRNA (ENSCGRG00015041762.1)
Source: RNAcentral